GACGAACGCUGGCGGCGUGCUUAACACAUGCGAGUCGAACGGAAAGGCCUCUUUCGGGGGGUACUCGAGUGGCGAACGGGUGAGUAACACGUGAGUAACCUGCCCUUGACUUUGGGAUAACUUCAGGAAACUGGGGCUAAUACCGGAUAGGAGCUCCUGCUGCAUGGUGGGGGUUGGAAAGUUUCGGCGGUUGGGGAUGGACUCGCGGCUUAUCAGCUUGUUGGUGGGGUAGUGGCUUACCAAGGCUUUGACGGGUAGCCGGCCUGAGAGGGUGACCGGCCACAUUGGGACUGAGAUACGGCCCAGACUCCUACGGGAGGCAGCAGUGGGGAAUAUUGCACAAUGGGUGGAAGCCUGAUGCAGCAACGCCGUGUGCGGGAUGACGGCCUGCGGGUUGUAAACCGCUUUCGCUCAUGACGAAGCUUUGUGUGACGGUAGUGGGUAAAGAAGCACCGGCUAACUACGU
RNAcentral lists this ribosomal RNA (466 nucleotides) under uncultured bacterium. RNAcentral's name for it is "partial 16S ribosomal RNA". It matches the Rfam family "Bacterial small subunit ribosomal RNA", at positions 28 to 506 of the family's 1533-position model. The record is from RNAcentral.